GAUGAACGCUGGCGGCGUGCCUAAUACAUGCAAGUCGAGCGAACGGACGAGAAGCUUGCUUUUCUGAUGUUAGCGGCGGACGGGUGAGUAACACGUGGAUAACCUACCUAUAAGACUGGGAUAACUUCGGGAAACCGGAGCUAAUACCGGAUAAUAUUUUGAACCGCAUGGUUCAAAAGUGAAAGACGGUCUUCCUGUCACUUAUAGAUGGAUCCGCGCUGCAUUAGCUAGUUGGUAAGGUAACGGCUUACCAAGGCAACGAUGCAUAGCCGACCUGAGAGGGUGAUCAGCCACACUGGAACUGAGACACGGUCCAGACUCCUACGGGAGGCAGCAGUAGGGAAUCUUCCGCAAUGGGCGAAAGCCUGACGGAGCAACGCCGCGUGAGUGAUGAAGGUCUUCGGAUCGUAAACCUCUGUUAUUAGGGAAGAACAUAUGUGUAAGUAACUGUGCACAUCUUGACGGUACCUAAUCAGAAAGCCCCGGCUAACUACGUG
Molecule: ribosomal RNA, 497 nt
Filed under: uncultured bacterium
Lineage: Bacteria
Description: partial 16S ribosomal RNA
Rfam family: Bacterial small subunit ribosomal RNA
Source: RNAcentral